AAGAACAAGCUGCGUAACAUUGCAGUCCCAGAGUAGCACCAACUUAUUGCAGCUCUAACAAGGGCAGUUCUGGGGCCCUUAGUAAUAAAUGGUCUGGGCUCUAGAUAGAAAAAACUCACCCUAGACACACAAACAGUUCCUAUUUUUCAAUUUUGUUUCUCGUAUCAUAAAAACUAGCACUGACUUGACUUACAGUGGGACAUCAGUCUUUUCUUUUAAAAUGUAUUUAUUUAUGAACUGAAAACCUACAAGAAAGACUGCACUGUCUUUGAGAUGGCCGAAUGCUCUGGGCUUCAGAUGGGAUACAGCAAAGCUGAUCUAUGCCUGCUACUGCAGUAGAUCUACGUGUGACUUUUCAGCAAGCUAAACUGCUAAAUUGAAGGACUUUGAAGAAAGAAGUGAAAUCUAUUGCCAUCAAGUCUCACUUGCAUCACAUUGAAACAAGGAUUGUCCUGUCUCCUUCCCAGGCUAUGCAAUUAGCUGCCUCCCAACAGAGGAGCUCCCAAGGAACCUCUCUCAUACAAACAUCACCGAUUUAUAAACAGCCUGGCGAUGUGCUACCAUUACGACCAGCCUCCAAUGAAUCUGCUAUCAGUUUUGCAUACACUGACCCUGGCGCUGUUUUCUCAGCAGCAAGGAGCCAUACUCCAGAAAGCUUUCUUUCUACCCUCUCAAAGUCAGGAAGCCUUUUUUCUAUGGAACAACACGAUCUCUUUUAUGGGUCUUCCAGAAGUUCUUCCAGAGGGUCCAUGGGCAAUCCCGAAUACAAAUACGAAGAUGGAGAAGGAAGCGGUGAUUCUGGGAGCACCAUUUUUGUCCCAUUCACAGCAAUGUGACAGACGAUCUACCUUUUACCAGACGUUAAUGAUAUUCCAUGUGUAUCCCUCUGAUGCACUGUCUCUUUUAAUGAAAAAUUUAAAUAGGAAAAAAAAGUACACAACUGAGUAUUUUCUGAGCUAUGUGUGAAUGGAAGCCCACACAAAGAAUUGCAUCCCAUCAAUAUCUUCAAUCUUUAAAAUAUGGAGAUCUCCUUUGGAAGUGAACUUACUCCAGUCUUUCCCCAAUCAUAGUAAGGACUACAGGACCUAAUGAACCAAGCUCUUUCCACAGUGAACAGGUGGGCUGUACAAACUGACCGUCCAAUGUCAGUUUCCAAGAGUACUUCAAAUAUUAGACUGGGAUAAGAGGUUAACAAUGAGACUGAUCAGUUGUAGCUGUUAUUUAAAGUCAUGCAAGAAGAAUAAAAUCACUGAAUAAGAGACAAAGUUUUCUUAAUGACAUGGAAAAAACCCAUGAAUGUUCCAUUGCUCAUCUGUGGACCUCCAUCCAAACAAAUCCCAAAUUAGCAAAGGACCUGCUGUCAAAUGGUUUUCAAGAGGCCCUUCCCCAAGAGAUGGGACUUGUUUUAAAAACUGCCUUCAGUGUUAGGGAUGUAAUUAAUAGAGAGUGCAAGUGCUAGAAAUUAAGGGGCUGAUCUUCAGUGCCAAAAGCAACAACUCCCAAUGAGUUGGGUGUCUAACUGCUGGCCUUUAUGCCUUUGAAAACGUCCCCCUAAAUGUCUAGCUAUUAGAUUGGCCACACAGGGUAGGUGGCUAGACAUUUAACUAUUAGCAAAUUGUGCCCACCAUUUUUUUGCAUUUGUAGUGAAUUCUUGCUCUGUUGCAAUUAUUCAGGAUUCCCUAUCUGAAAUUUGAGCAAUGUGGAUUAGUUGAUCACAUAUGUGUUGGGCGAGGGAAGGAUGAGGAGCAGUUCUCCUUUCCACAUUCAUCUUGUGGGAGCUAUUGCUUGAAAGCCUGAUUAUUAUACGGAUAGUCCCUCUCUCCAUCCCAAUUCCUGAACCACUUCCUUGUCUCAGCCUACCCUAUUAUGCCUGGGCCCUAUGAAAUACACUGUCCCAGGCCUCAGAAACCCUCUUGUUCCAAGGCUCUCCGAGCUCCCCUGCUGCUGACCCUGUUGCCCUGAACCAGGUGCCCAAACUUGCUGAUUCACCCCAGCUGAGGAUCUCACCCACAGAGCACAUCUCCUCUCCUUUCCUUGUGCAAGUUAUUCUGUAGUGUGGGAGAGGGUGGGAGGGAUAGGUGUUCUGUGGCACAGUUUGCUCUUCCAGGGCUGGCCUUAGGGGUGGGCCUCCCGGGCAACCGCCCAGAGGUGCCAUGGUCAAGGGGGCGUCAUGCAGCAGCGCAGAGGUGAGCAUUGCCGGCGUAGAAUUAGAAACUGCUCCCGGCUGGCUGGGGAGCGUCGUGUGGGGGGUGCCCAGAUUUCUCCCUGCUCCUCCCUCACAGUGGAGGAACAUGAGGGGGGUCAGC
Caretta caretta (loggerhead turtle) is the source of this 2306-nucleotide long non-coding RNA. RefSeq lists it as uncharacterized. The record is from RefSeq and is a predicted model, not a curated record. Lineage: Eukaryota; Metazoa; Chordata; Testudines; Cheloniidae.